This is a non-coding RNA of Myodes glareolus (Bank vole), 1397 nucleotides long. The record is from RefSeq and is a predicted model, not a curated record. Lineage: Eukaryota; Metazoa; Chordata; Mammalia; Rodentia; Cricetidae.
GCCCAGACCACUGGAGAGGGAAGAUGUAAGCUGCCCCACUGGAAAAGGAGAGCUGAAGUCUUCACACGUUAUAAAUACCUGUGAACCACGUUUGCAAUAGGAUAAAUGUUUGGAGAGAAUUUAGGAGCUGGCUAAGUGGUAGAGAUGGAAAGGGGUUUGUUCCAGUUGGAGACGUCUCAUUAUAUGGGUGCUGUAGUGUGGAUGAUGAACUCUGCGGUACUUUCAACACAGACAGUGUGGUCGAACAUUCGACAGGAUCCUACAGAUCCCAUAGGAGCCGUUCCACAGUGAAGCGAGUGAGGCUGUGUGCCGGGCUCACUCUUUUCCAAUCUGUCAUCUGCUUGGAUCUGUGAGCGUCUUGGAAGACUCUCUCUGGCUUCUCCCGAAAGGUGGCACGCAUCCAACAUCCUCAGAAGAAUUCAGGAUUGUCAUGUGAUAGAAAUUCUUGAGAUUUUGUAGCUGGUGGUGACGGUUGGCCUCGAAUACUGAACAAAUGCGCUCUGCAAACAGACACGUGGAGAGCGGCAGUAAAGCUGGUAGCAAGAUCUGCAGACCUGUCUCCACAGUCCCGGGCAUCCAGCCAAUACCAUAAUCAGCCAGGUGAGUGCCCAUACCACACCCCCACACCCCCACACAAUCAACCCCCUUGGUGCUCGGUGCUAGGUGUUCGGUGCUCAUAACUUCUGUUGAGAGAGCUGGGCAGAGCGCAGGAUUCUUUGUGUGGUUUCAGGGAAGCUCCCCUCCAAGUUUGGGGUACCAGAGCCCCUGUUGAUGCAGUCACGUGGGCUCCGUGUCCUCUGGAUCUCAGCUUCACUUCCUGGAAGCCAAAACGCUCUCUGGCCCUGGCUUUAAGAAGCCCAUACAACAGAGGGGUCUGACCCCAGGACCCUUUCCUCUCAGCCUGGGAAACCAGAACGGAAAACAACGGAAAUCCGUGGAGCAAAGGAUCCAGGCCAGAGUCACGGGGCCUCCGGACAGCACCUCGGUGCUAAGGUUGACAUCCAGGGCCUGGACUGGUCAGGUACAGAGCGACCAGAGACUUGGAACAGCAGGGUGCGAGGGCGAGGCUGGCCAGCUUCCCCCAGUCUGCGGAUCCCUCAUUAGGCUGGCGCAGAGACUGAAAAAUGUACGUCUCCAUCUAUUUCUGGCUUCUAAAUGCGCGAAGGAAAUAAGUCGCUUUAUUAUUUUAUUUUUGUAAAGUUGAAGACAGAGACAGAUGCCCCCUAGAGCGCGCGUAUGCUCGCUCUAAAAAGUCCCGGCUCUGCUGGGGAGUCUUCGAGAGGAACGCAGCAUCAAGGACAAAUAGGUUGUCCCCUCUAAAUCUACGGGAAGAGCACAGGCAAUGGUAGGAAUUGUUAGCACUUCCACAUGGAGAUGUGGGAAAUAAAACCAGGGAA